CCAAGUACGGCAGUGAAUAUUUAUCUUAAAUACAUCCUCAGUCUGUUGAAAAUGAUAAAUCCACACUUCAGAAUGAGUAGAAUAGUGAGUUUUGAAGGAAUGGCAAGAAAUAACUAGUGGGAUUAUGCUCAAUGAACACUAAAAUUUGCUUCCUGUCAUCAGCUGGGUGAAACUAGCUCAGCCAGGGGUGUCGUAGCCAUUGCUUUUAUUGCAGACGAAGAGCUGACAUUUGACUUCAGUGGUUAAAAUACAGUCAGUACAGCAGCAUUGUACUCUGAAGUUUCAGCUGUAACGUAUUAUGGCAAAUGCCAUUAACUGUAGUGCUUAAAAUGACUUUAAGCACCAUUUCCUGUGUGCUAUUAUAUGCUGCUAUGAGUGUGACAGGCAGUGAUCCACCUUUGUAUGCAUCUGUAAUUGAUUUCUUUGUAACCCUGCUCUGUGCAACUGUGCUCACUUGUGAUUUUCUACUUCCUGAAGGUUGUUCAGAUGGAUGUCUGAAUCAUCAGUGUGAAUGUUCGAAUCAGCAGCAAAUGAGAUGUAAUUUAAAUAGCAGUGGUGGUAUGGAACACUACACAUUGCAAGAAGUCACAGUCGUAAGCAACUUGAGCAUCACACCUAAAAUACCUAAGCAAGCUGUGAAGGAAAAAGGGUGUUAUAUUAUUUUCUCACCAGGUUGCUUCUGAAGAUGCUGAAAGAGCUGCUCUUCUAACAGGAAGGAAGAAUAUUUAUUUUCUGGCAAAAGAGAGUACACAGUGAAAGCAUUUAAUCACUGCAUUGACUUGAAAUUAAUUUGAAGCAGACAAACAAUCCCUUUGAAUAGAGCUCUCUGAAGUGUCACUCCAGGUAUGAACGGAUGAAGAAGAAAAUGCUUGAGCUUUGACUGCAUGGUAACAGAUGUACCAAAAACUCCAUGCAGAAGUGCAGUCCUGCCAGGAUUAUCACUGGAAUUCAGAGAGAUCUGACUCCCUCUGAAAACACGAGCAUAUUUUCCAUUUGUUUGCUGCUUUGCUCAUGUCUGCAUCAAGGCAGACAGACAGUGUGGUUACUGGAACUGAACCCCUUCAGAGUUCAUCAUCCACGCCACCGAACAAGUCAGAUCUGAAUACAGCUGGACCAGAAAUAAGCUGCUCUCACCAGAGUAAAAGGAAGAGGCUGGGUAGCAUGAGGAUACUGAAAACUGGAGUGGUCUUAGUUUUGCUUGGUCUCGUUUAAAGAAGUCCCUAACUGAGGCUGAUUUCAAGAGGUGCCUGCACAGAUGAGGAUGUGAUGUGCCCUGAGUGCACCCUCUCCUUCCCUGCCAGGGGGUCUGCAGGUGCCCUGUGAGUAGAUUCUUGCGUGGAUUUGAUUUAAAUGGAUGUAUUGGCUUGAAAUAAACAUAUCUUUUGUGUAUUUGUGCAUUUUAAAGUUGUGGGACUGUCUCAUUAAUUCAAGAAAUUAUGCAGAGCUGUGACUGAAUCUGCUUUCUCUAUUGCGCAGCAAAUUAAGGCCAAAAAAGAGCUUCUGAGGAGCCACAUAACCCAAGCAAUUCCCUGAGCAGCUGUGUGGCUGCAGCCUUCAGACUUGCCCUUGCCUUGCCUGUGCCUCCCUGAAAGUUGUCUUGCCCUGCUGAUGUAGACCAGAGCAGGAAGCUUUUUCCUUUUUUUUUCCUUUUUAUUCCUUUUUUUCCCUUUUUUCCCUUUUUUUUUUUCUUUUAUAAUAGCAUGCCCCAUGUAUUAUUUCUUAGUAAAAAUCCUUCUCUUGUUAGAAGAAACAAGAGCUCCGAAAGGUUUCUGUCAUUUACUGUGGCUAUGAAUCAGUUUUACCAAGCAGAAUGAUUAGUAGGACACGACAAGGCAAUACCUCGGCAGGGUUUAGAUAUCCUGCCAGUUUGUGUUCUGUACUAACAUGUCACUAAAUAAAAAAUUGGUCUGAAUGGCUUUGGA
This is a long non-coding RNA of Catharus ustulatus (Swainson's thrush), 1922 nucleotides long. RefSeq lists it as uncharacterized. The transcript has 3 exons. The record is from RefSeq and is a predicted model, not a curated record. NCBI's taxonomy places the organism in Eukaryota, Metazoa, Chordata, Aves, Passeriformes, Turdidae.